Molecule: non-coding RNA, 736 nt
Organism: Miniopterus natalensis
Lineage: Eukaryota; Metazoa; Chordata; Mammalia; Chiroptera; Miniopteridae
Source: RefSeq, a predicted model, not a curated record
AGAUCUUGGCUAUUGUAAACUGCGCUGUCCAUUGUAUUUUUCUUUUUUGCUUUAGUUUGGAAAUUUUUUAAUGAUCAUUCUUCGGUGCCUAAUACUCUCUUCUUAGUGUUUAAUCUGCUUUUAAAAGCACCUAUUGAGUUUUUAUUUUGUUACAGCUUCAUUGAGGUACAACUGACAUAAGACUCACCCAUAAUUGGACCCUCACCCUUGGCGCAUCGGGACAACGCUCCAACCAACUGAACUACCCAGCCAGGCCCAGCAUAAUGUUUUUUGAAGUUUACAAGGCUUGUCACUAUUGUAGCAGGCAUUGGUAUUUUGUGCAAAAGGAUUUUAUUGCUGAAACUUUUAUGUUAUAUGGAUCUGGUGUAGUCUGUUUAUUAACCAGUUAAUGGAAAUUGAGUUGUUUCCAGUUAUUGGCUAGUAGGAAUAAUGCUGCCGUGACGGUUCCUGUAAGUCUUAAUGCACACAUACAUUUUCAUUUUUGUUAUGUAGAAGUGGUGUAGAACUUCUGGGUCAUGUGGUGGAUGUGUGUUUAAUGUUUUAAGAAACUACCAAACUACUUUCUACAGUGGCUGUAACAUUUUACAUUCCCAACAGCAAUGUAUGGAGGUUUCAGUUUCUUCGUACCUUAGUCAACAGUUACUGAUUACAGCCAUUCUAGUGGGUGUGUAGAGGUUAAUUUGUUAUUAAUUUGCAUUUUCCUCAUGUUUAAUAAAGUUGAACACCUUUUAAUAUG